AGAUGGCCCAGGGUGUGAGUGGGCGUUAAGGCGUCUGGGAAGGGAUCUCAAAACUGGAUUAUAGAUGGUAGACAGUUGGUGUCGUAAGCCACCGCCUCUGCUCAAAGAUGGUCGCUCACAGUGGACAUAGAUGGCUUCUUUCACUCCUCUUUCAAACCAUCUGUCCUCUCUGUCCAAAAUGUGAAUUCUUGGCUUUUACUUUUCAAAUAACUUUCCCACUUUGUGUUUUGCUCCACAGGGAGAAGAAGGCAAGACUGGUUCACCAGGGAAGAGGGGUCAUGUUGGAAGGAGGGGAAAAAGGGGAAAGGCUGGAGUCAGAGGGCCCAGGGGAGAGAGAGGACCAAAGGGUGAAAAGGGAGACACAGGACCGGUGGGGCUCCCUGGAUGGUCAGGACUCAUUGGAAUCCCCGGCUUACGUGGAGAGUCAGGUGAUCAAGGUCAAAGGGGUGAAAAGGGUGACAAAGGAGACAUGGGACUGCCUGGACUACCUGGAGUUGAUGGCAUGAAGGGUAUCCGUGGUCCUGUUGGAUUGCCUGGUCCAGAGGGUCCAAAAGGGGAACAGGGAAACAUUGGUCUGCCAGGGCCCAGGGGCAUGUCAGGGAUGCCAGGAUUGCCUGGUUUGUUUGGAUUAAAGGGAUUGAAAGGCUACCAAGGUCUGCCUGGUCCACCUGGCAGGAAGGGGCUGCCGGGUCCACCUGGCAUUCCCGGACUUCCCGGAAAGUCACUGAACAUGACCUUGUCUCAGCUCAAGGCAAGUAGUUUCUAAACUGUAUUGCCAAUUAUAUGUUGGAAUUGUUGUUUUCUGUUACGAAAUAUUCGAUUAAAAUUGCA
This is a long non-coding RNA of Astatotilapia calliptera (eastern happy), 831 nucleotides long. The record is from Ensembl. NCBI's taxonomy places the organism in Eukaryota, Metazoa, Chordata, Actinopteri, Cichliformes, Cichlidae.